Long non-coding RNA from Carassius gibelio (silver crucian carp), 1748 nucleotides. RefSeq lists it as uncharacterized. The transcript is spliced from 4 exons. The record is from RefSeq and is a predicted model, not a curated record. Lineage: Eukaryota; Metazoa; Chordata; Actinopteri; Cypriniformes; Cyprinidae.
CAUUCUCACUCCAAAGGCGUCAAAAACCGAAGCAUGGUCAAGCGCCCCUAGCGUCACUCUUAUGACGCCAAAUGUGCCUCUCGGCGUCGACUAUCGAAGCACUACGACCUUCAUUGCUUUCAAUGGGAAACUUUUGGCGUCAGAAUUCGACACGAGGACAUGAGAUGUUUAUCGCUAUGAAAUCACGUUCAAGAAGUCUCAUUCAGCACACAUCGCGCGAUACUUGCUAUCAGUUCCACAGUUUGGCUGAAAAGACGUAAAGGCAGUCAGCCCAGUGGUGUUUCUGGAGAGGGAUUCCUUCAGAAAUGGAGAAGACAGAAAGCUGCGGAGGCAGAUAUUUGCAGCAUGUUCGAGUGAGCAUGAUGACCACAAGUGUGUGUCAAACUUUUCAUGACCUGAUGACUGUGUUUCCCAAUCCUGAUCCUGGAGAACCCCAGCACUGCACGGUUUUGGCGUCUCUCUUAUCUGCCUUGGAGUCUUCACUGAUGAGCUGAUGAGUUGAAUCAGGUGUGUUUGAUCAGGGAGACAUCUCAAAUGUGCAGUGUUGGGGUUCUCCAGGACCAGGAUUGGGAGCCACUGCCUUAUGGGACACUUAUGUGUUUAAAGAGAUUUUUAAUAUCUAAUUAUCAAUAUUUCACAUACUGUACAUUGGACAGCUUUCCAUGACCUCUUGUGAGAUCUCGGCAAAAAGUCUGACGAUUUAUUCCAAAACAUGAUGCAUGAUGGGAUACACUAAGCUUUGUAUAGCGCUCCGGAGCAGUAUUGGAGAGGUUUAGUGUGUGUUAAGGACGCUGUGCUUUGGCAUUAUUAAGACCGGGGACAGUCUUGUGCACACACUGUCACGUACACACACUCUCAAGUGGCCAAGACUGCAAGUGUGGGUAUCUGGACAGGGUCAAAGUCUUAAAAAUGAUCCCUAAACACAUCACAGUCUUAAUAAUCCAGUUUAACACUUGUAUGAUAUUGUACAAGCCCCAGGACGGUCUCAUCUGACACUAUCAAAAGAAUUCAUAUGACUAUAGCUUGUUAUUAAUUACUUGCUUUCAAUAAUGGAUGCAUUUAACAUUUAAUUAUACAGCAUCUUUACAGAGGUGUAAUGUACAAGCUGCACGUAAUUAAUAAUAUGUCCUUCCUUCUGUCUUACAGGAUUUUUUCCAGAUAAUGCUGUUCUUCUUUUUCAGGUCUAAAAUAUCGAGCUCAACAGCUAUUUUAAGAGCCAACCCUCACAAACCUUCCUAAAACCUAAAAGAGCUAUUACUGAGUCUCAGCGAAUCUUGCCAUGAUCAGCUCUUCCCAGAAGAGAAGGAAGACCAAGGAAAUUAUUUGCUCAGGAUGAGAAAUGAAGACGGCCAUCGUGUGCUCAAACAAACAGAAGUCCUUUGGUAUGUGUGUGUUGAAGCAAUGUUAUACAACAUUUUAUGAUGAUCUCUCACAGAACUGGUCAUGUCAGCCUUGAUUUCGUUUUAUACUAUUACAAUUACAGCAUGUUAGCAAAGUGUGACUGGACAUUUUUAAUAUUAUGUUUUUAAAAACACACCACCUGUUUUAAAAGCAGACAAGUAUCAUGAAAUUGGUUUAGUUGAUAUAAACACCAAUUGACAUUAUUUCAUUGUUUUGUAAAUGUUAUGUUAUAAAUUGUGAAUUGAUAGUUGAUUGGUUUGAAGCCAGGCCUUACACUGCACAGACUAAAACACAUUUGUGAGAGAAGUCAGGAACUUUGGAGAAAGAUUCUAGAGGAAGAAAACACA